RNAcentral lists this ribosomal RNA (450 nucleotides) under uncultured bacterium. RNAcentral describes it as "bacterial SSU rRNA". It matches the Rfam family "Bacterial small subunit ribosomal RNA", at positions 328 to 793 of the family's 1533-position model. The record is from RNAcentral.
UGUCCAGACUCCUACGGGAGGCAGCAGUGGGGAAUAUUGCACAAUGGGGGAAACCCUGAUGCAGCGACGCCGCGUGAGUGAAGAAGUAUUUCGGUAUGUAAAGCUCUAUCAGCAGGGAAGAAAAUGACGGUACCUGCAAAGGAAGCACCGGCUAACUCCGUGCCAGCAGCCGCGGUAAUACGUAGGGGGCAAGCGUUAUCCGGAUUUACUGGGUGUAAAGGGAGCGUAGACGGCGAUGCAAGUCUGAAGUGAAAGGCGGGGGCCCAACCCCCGGACUGCUUUGGAAACUGUAUGGCUGGAGUGCAGGAGAGGUAAGUGGAAUUCCUAGUGUAGCGGUGAAAUGCGUAGAUAUUAGGAGGAACACCAGUGGCGAAGGCGGCUUACUGGACUGUAACUGACGUUGAGGCUCGAAAGCGUGGGGAGCAAACAGGAUUAGAUACCCCAGUACCG